RNAcentral lists this ribosomal RNA (441 nucleotides) under uncultured bacterium. RNAcentral describes it as "bacterial SSU rRNA". It matches the Rfam family "Bacterial small subunit ribosomal RNA", at positions 335 to 795 of the family's 1533-position model. The record is from RNAcentral.
ACUCCUACGGGAGGCAGCAGUGGGGAAUCUUAGACAAUGGGGGCAACCCUGAUCUAGCCAUGCCGCGUGAGUGACGAAGGCCUUAGGGUCGUAAAGCUCUUUCGCUGGAGAAGAUAAUGACGGUAUCCAGUAAAGAAACCCCGGCUAACUCCGUGCCAGCAGCCGCGGUAAUACGGGGGUGCAAGCGUUAAUCGGAGUUAUUGGGCGUAAAGGGUGCGUAGGUUGUUAUUUAAGUCAUGUGGGAAAUACCUGGGCUCAACCUGGGAAUGACGGAUGAUACUGAAUGACUAGAGUAUAGUAGAGGGUAGUGGAAUUUCCGGUGUAGCGGUGAAAUGCGUAGAGAUCGGAAGGAACACCAGUGGCGAAGGCGGCUACCUGGACUAAUACUGACACUGAGGCACGAAGCGUGGGUAGCAACAGGAUUAGAUACCCUGGUAGGUC